This 27-nucleotide non-coding RNA is filed under the name Bombyx mori (domestic silkworm). The record is from RNAcentral. Lineage: Eukaryota; Metazoa; Arthropoda; Insecta; Lepidoptera; Bombycidae.
UAACGCUUAGGUCCAGAAUCGGGUUUC